GGGCCGGUAGUUCAGUUUGGGAGAACACCUCGUUCGCACUGAGGAGGUCGGGGGUUCGAGUCCCCUCCGGUCCA
RNAcentral lists this transfer RNA (74 nucleotides) under Planctomycetota bacterium. RNAcentral's name for it is "Planctomycetes bacterium tRNA-Ala". It matches the Rfam family "tRNA". Rfam says of the family: Transfer RNA (tRNA) molecules are approximately 80 nucleotides in length. Their secondary structure includes four short double-helical elements and three loops (D, anti-codon, and T loops). The record is from RNAcentral. Lineage: Bacteria; Pseudomonadati; Planctomycetota.